AAUAGAUACCCUGGUAGUCCACGCUGUAAACGAUGAUUACUAGGUGUCCGGGAUGUUAACCUCCUGGGUACCGUAGCUCACGCAUUAAGUAAUCCGCCUGGGGAGUACGGUGGCAACACUAAAACUCAAAGGAAUUGACGGGGGCCCGCACAAGCGGUGGAGUAUGUGGUUUAAUUCGAAGCAACGCGCAGAACCUUACCUGGGCUUAACAUCCCACGACAUCCUCAGAGAUGAGGCUUUCCCUUCGGGGACGUGGAGAUAGGUGCUGCAUGGCUGUCGUCAGCUCGUGUUGUGAAAUGUUGGGUUAAGUCCCGCAACGAGCGCAACCCUUGCCCUUAGUUGCCACCAUUAAGUUGGGCACUCUGAGGGGACCGCCGGUGUUAAACCGGAGGAAGGCGGGGAUGACGUCAAGUCCUCAUGGCCCUUACGUCCAGGGCUACACACGUACUACAAUGGCAGAGACAAAGGGUAGCGAAGCAGUGAUGUGAAGCCAAUCCCAAAAACACUGUCUCAGUCCGGAUUGAAGUCUGCAACUCGACUUCA
Molecule: ribosomal RNA, 543 nt
Filed under: uncultured bacterium
Lineage: Bacteria
Description: bacterial SSU rRNA
Rfam family: Bacterial small subunit ribosomal RNA
Source: RNAcentral